GUGAGGAAUAUUGCGCAAUGGAGGCAACUCUGACGCAGCCAUGCCGCGUGCAGGAAGAAGGCGCUACGCGUUGUAAACUGCUUUUAACCGGGAAGAAACCCCAGGACGUGUCCUGGGUUGACGGUACCGGAGGAAUAAGCACCGGCUAACUUCGUGCCAGCAGCCGCGGUAAUACGAAGGGUGCAAGCGUUAUCCGGAUUCAUUGGGUUUAAAGGGUGCGUAGGCGGAGCGUUAAGUCAGUGGUGAAAUCCUGCAGCUUAACUGUAGACUUGCCAUUGAUACUGGCGCUCUUGAGUGCGCUUGAAGUGGGCGGAAUGUGCCGUGUAGCGGUGAAAUGCUUAGAUAUGGCACAGAACACCAAUUGCGAAGGCAGCUCACUAAGGCGAUACUGACGCUGAGGCACGAAAGCGUGGGGAUCGAACAGGAUUAGAUACCAUUGUAGUCC
Molecule: ribosomal RNA, 445 nt
Filed under: uncultured bacterium
Lineage: Bacteria
Description: partial 16S ribosomal RNA
Rfam family: Bacterial small subunit ribosomal RNA
Source: RNAcentral